This 364-nucleotide ribosomal RNA is filed under the name Nakaseomyces nivariensis. RNAcentral describes it as "eukaryotic LSU rRNA". It matches the Rfam family "Eukaryotic large subunit ribosomal RNA", at positions 294 to 666 of the family's 3401-position model. Lineage: Eukaryota; Fungi; Ascomycota; Saccharomycetes; Saccharomycetales; Saccharomycetaceae. The record is from RNAcentral.
GGGUGGUAAAUUCCAUCUAAAGCUAAAUACAGGCGAGAGACCGAUAGCGAACAAGUACAGUGAUGGAAAGAUGAAAAGAACUUUGAAAAGAGAGUGAAAAAGUACGUGAAAUUGUUGAAAGGGAAGGGCAUUUGAUCAGACAUGGUGUUUUGCGCCCCUCGCUCCUUGUGGGUGGGGGACUCUCGCAGCUCACUGGGCCAGCAUCAGUUUUUGCGGCAGGACAAAACCUUGGGAAUGUAGCUGUGCGCCUCGGUGUACAGUGUUAUAGCUCUUGGGAAUACUGCCAGCGGGGACUGAGACUGCGAUACUUGUUAUCUAGGAUGCUGGCAUAAUGGUUAUAUGCCGCCCGUCUUGAAACACGGAC